GUGCAGCAGGCGAGAAACCUCCGCAAUGCGGGAAACCGCGACGGGGGACCCGAGUGCCGUGGCAACGCCACGGCUUUUCCGGAGUGUAAAAGCUCCGGGAAUAAGGGCUGGGCAAGGCCGGUGGCAGCCGCCGCGGUAAUACCGGCGGCCCGAGUGGUGGCCGCUAUUAUUGGGCCUAAAGCGUCCGUAGCCGGGCCCGUAAGUCCCUGGCGAAAUCCCACGGCUCAACCGUGGGGCUUGCUGGGGAUACUGCGGGUCUUGGGACCGGGAGAGGCGGGGGGUACCCCUGGGGUAGGGGUGGAAAUCCUAUAAUCCCCAGGGGGACCGCCAGUGGCGAAGGCGCCCCGCUGGAACGGGUCCGACGGUGAGGGACGAAGG
Molecule: ribosomal RNA, 378 nt
Filed under: uncultured microorganism
Description: bacterial SSU rRNA
Rfam family: Archaeal small subunit ribosomal RNA
Source: RNAcentral